CUUUUUCUAGUGCUGAAUGAAAAGACUACAUUAGAUUCUUUACCUGAAAAUGACUCCCUAAAGAGCCAGAGUUAUUUAAUAAUUGUGGGCCCAGCAAAUCGUAAAAGUAAGGUCCUUGAAAUACAAAUAAACUAAAUCUACCCCCAAAAAUAUACUAAGAGGUCAGUAAAAGUCCCUCCAGGGACCUGUAUCGUAAGAAUCAUGUGCUCAACUCCAUAUAUAAAGUGAGGAAUUAAGAAGAGCUUUUCCAAUACAGUCUUUCUCCACUACUGCUUUAUAUUUAGAGAUAACAGAGGCGGUAUUUUAACAAGAUUACGGGAAAGUUUUACAUUUACUUUUAAAAAAUUCCUGUUAUUCCACAAUAUCACAGCCGUUUCCAUUUUUCAUCUACCGUUUGCAUAUUCGUUUUCUUAUGGUAAUCACAAAAACCUGUGAUUGUGCUGAUGCGAUCUGUUUAUUUCCACUUUAGGUAAACUUUUAAAGAUAACUGUUAUUUCGUGCUCUCUCUCGCGGGAACGCAGCUGAGGACACGAGGAGUAGCCAACCCCAAGAAAAGCUAUGAAUUAGCGAGAGAGGACAGGCAGGCAGGGAGAGAAGGUGAGGGCUGGCCGUACCGCGGCCUCGAGGCCCCGCCUCCCCGGGCCCCAGGCCCAGGCUCCGCCUCCCCGGGCCCCGCCCCGGCCCGCCGCCAUGUUGUUCCCUUGGUGCUGGACGUGAGUAGCUGGAGUUGGACCUGGGCAGAGCUACUACGGUCUCCUGUCUGCGGGUCCCCGACCUUCUCUCCUCGUUGCACCCCGACGGGCCAGCCGGGACCUCCCCGGGCGUCCUCUGUGUGGCCACGAGAUAAUGAUGCUACUUGAACCGAACAAUUAAGGUAACAUUUAUGACCUAUGUGAUAUGCUUUUCUUAUUCAGGAUUCUUUAUCAAAUUUAGCUGAAUUGUUAAAGUCAUGUUUUAACCUUGGUGAGGAUUAUUAUUAUUGCCCGUGGGCAAUCGUUCUGAACUGUGGAGUAUAAAAGACUUCACAUUAUAUUUUAAGGUAAGUUCUGAAAAUAACAUAACAGGAUGCCUUUAUUCAUUCAUCUUACACUGAAGUUUCAAAGGGUUUUACUGUUUUAAGAAAAGAAAAAGGGAGGGGCACCUGGGUGGCACAGCGGUUAAGCGUCUGCCUUCGGCUCAGGGCGUGAUCCCGGUGUUAUGGGAUCGAGCCCCGCGUCGGGCUCCUCUGCUGCGAGCCUGCUUCUUCCUCUCCCACUCCCCCUGUUUGUGUUCCCUCUCUCGCUGGCUGUCUCUGUCUAAUAAAUAAAUAAAAAUCUUUAAAAAAAAAAUUAACAGAGCCUAGUUCUCCAACCCAUUAAUGUAAUGUACAAUUAUCAUGUCAUUUAAAAAAAAAAGAAAAGAAAAAGGGAGUUUUUUUAAUGUCUCUAAGCCAGUUAUGGUUAUGUUCAUGUAUAAAUUGCCUGAAGCUAGCUUUUCUUGGAUUUAGUGGGAAAUAAGAUGGUUUAUAUAAUUAUCUCUAUCACCAUGUGUGUUUAUGUACAACUCUACAGUAAGAAUCAGAGAAGUGUUUGUAUAUAUAUUGUUUUAGCAAAUGCCAGCAUCCUUCCAAAUAGGGUAUCUGCGAGGCCCCAAAUUAUAGAUGCCCCACUUCCUGGUGCAUGGGUCUAGCAUACCUCAGAUUUGUUUAAUCAGAAUAAUGGCACCAACUAAGAAUCCCACAUUAUUAUAGAAAAAGAAAAGACCUGUGUCAAAGUGUCCUGAUAAAAUUAUAAAUGACAAAUCAAGGAAUGUCUAAGACUUAAUUUGGUAGAUAUAUGCAACCAGUCACCUGGGUGGAGGUUAUUAAUAAUCUGGCUUAUAAUUUGAUGUGAAGAUCCUAAUAACAGUUCAGUGCUGUGCAAUAAAACUUUGGUAAGGUAGCUAGAGACUUAAAUACUGGGCUAAAUGGUAUACUAGAAUCAUGCACAUCUUUUACAUCCUUAUAACACGGAAUGGAACUUUUGGGUUCAUGUAUCUUGAAAAUUUUGUGAAGGGAACAACCGUGGAAAGGGGGCUUCUGGGAAAGGUUCCUGGUGUUGGUGAUGACCAUGCUGAGUGGUUCCGAGGGCUCAGCAGUUAGGUAAAGUGGGGUAGGAUCACCAAAGGAGGAAGCAGUAUGUGCCAGGGCCAAGGCAAGGGAGAGCAUGGGAGCUAAGCAAGUGGAACUGAAUUUCAGUUCCAUUGGACUGUGCAUUUCCAAAUGACUGAAGCUGAAAAUGGGGAGCAGGGCUAGGUGUCUUGUCUUAGAAGUUGGACUUAGAUCUGAAUCUCUGGAGAACCACUGGAGUGUUAAGGAUAGGGCCUUAGACCAAUGCUUUUUCCCCAUGUCAUAAUAGCUGGUAUGCAUUUUUGGUUUUGUUAUUCCUUUUUGCUAUAAAUUGAAAUUGCUUAAGCAAGAUUGCAAAGUUAAACAAAGGAACAGAUUUAUCAGGUUGUUACCUAUGUCAGGAAAUUAAGAGGUUUGGGAUUGUUUCAAUUUCCUCUUUGACAUGAAUUUAGUUUGGGCAUUGAGCAGAGUAAUUCACUAAAGUGAAAGAAGUCUCCAAGAGGUAAGUACUUUGAUUGCCUUAUAGUUUUGUUGGCCAAUUUAAAUUGUAUCAGUUAUAGUAGUAAUUACUAUAGUAGUAAUUUAAAAGAGUCAAUAAGAGUUACGGACAAGUUCUACAGGUUUUACCAGAAUAGGGUAUCAUGUAGUUGGAAAUGCAGAAUUCUUACACAUUACAGGAAGUAUUUAAUUCCAUUAUACUGGGUCACAUUUGCAUAUAACCAGGAGAUAGCCAGAGAAUGUUCACUGCAGUGAAUUUCCAAAUCCAUCUUAGUCAAUGUAACAAUUAUUGUUCAUGUCUUCAUUACCUUCCCAUUGAGGGAUUCACAAUAUAUCCACUUUCAUGUUAAAGUUAAUUACCAUUUUUGCUCUAGAACUGUGCUGGCCACUACAGCUAUUGCCUCUUUAAGUGUGACUAUUCAAAUUAGUUAUGAUUAAAUAAAAUUUAAAAUUCAGUUCCUCAUUCCCUCGAGCUAUAUGUCAGAUGCUCAGUAGUCACAUGUGGCUAGUGGCUGCCAUAUUGGACAGUGCAGAUGGAGGACAUUUCCAUCGUUACAGAAAAUUUUGUUAGUGCUACUCCAAAGGUUGUCUCCUUUUACAAAUUUUAAUGUACUUAAAAGCCAUGUAAUAGUGAAAUAUUUACAGAUUAAAUGAUAUAAUUUGAUUCAGAAUAACUGCGGAGAAUGGAGAGUUAUAGAAGAAACAGAAUUUGCCAUAAGUUGAUAAUUGGUGAAGCUAGGUUUGGAAUCCAUGGGGGUUUCAUUAUAUUAUUCUCUUAUUCAGAAAUUUUGUGUAUGUUUGAAAUUUUCCAUAACAAAGAAUAAAAACAGAAGCCUUAAAUAGGAACAGUGCUCCUGUCGGCACUUAAAAGUAGCCAUCUGGGGACACCUGGGUGGCUCAGUCGGUUAAGCGUCUCCCUUAGGCUCGGGUCAUGAUCCCAGGGUCCAGGGAUCGAGUACGGCAUUGGGCUCCCUGCUCAGCAAGGAGCCUGCUUCUCCCUAAGCCUGCCGCCGCCCGCUUGUACUCUCGUGCUCUCUCUCCCCCUCUUGCGCACUCUCUCUCACUCUCUCUGGUAAAUAAGUAAAUAAAAUCUCAAAAACCAAAAAAAAAAACAAGUAGCCAUCUGUAAAUGGGCACCUGAAAUUUUACCCUACACAGGCUGGUGCCUAUGGUGUAGGGAAAUGUUUAUUCCUGCCCCAGGGCUUCCCCAAAAGGGUAUUUAGAGUACUGCAUUUUUAAAAAAAGGUUUUAUUUAUUUGAUAGCAUAAGCAGGGGGCAGGGGCAGAAGGAGAGGGAGAAGCAGGUUCCCUGCUGGGCGGGGAGCCUGAUGUGGGGCUCAAUCCCAGGACCCUGAGAUAAUGACCUGAGCCAAAGGCAGAUGCCUAACCAACUGAGCCACCCAGGCACCCCUAGAGUACCACAUUGUUAAGGUUUAUCUCAUUCCCUCUGGAAACAUACAAGUGACAGCCCAGGUUCAUAUUUAUUAAGAGUUGGAACUGCCCGAAUGAGUCUUGUGGGCAGAAUGUGCUAGAUUAUGGUAUUCUGUUAAAAAAUUCCGUUGCUGCUGACAUUAAUUUUAGCC
RNAcentral lists this long non-coding RNA (4166 nucleotides) under Ailuropoda melanoleuca (giant panda). RNAcentral describes it as "lncRNA (ENSAMEG00000031070.1)". Lineage: Eukaryota; Metazoa; Chordata; Mammalia; Carnivora; Ursidae. The record is from RNAcentral.